Molecule: ribosomal RNA, 451 nt
Filed under: uncultured organism
Description: partial 16S ribosomal RNA
Rfam family: Bacterial small subunit ribosomal RNA
Source: RNAcentral
ACACUCCUGCGGGAGGCAGCAGUGGGGAAUAUUGGACAAUGGGCGCAAGCCUGAUCCAGCCAUGCCGCGUGAGUGAUGAAGGCCCUAGGGUUGUAAAGCUCUUUCACCGGUGAAGAUAAUGACGGUAACCGGAGAAGAAGCCCCGGCUAACUUCGUGCCAGCAGCCGCGGUAAUACGAAGGGGGCUAGCGUUGUUCGGAUUUACUGGGCGUAAAGCGCACGUAGGCGGACUAUUAAGUCAGGGGUGAAAUCCCGGGGCUCAACCCCGGAACUGCCUUUGAUACUGGUAGUCUUGAGUUCGAUAGAGGUGAGUGGAAUUCCGAGUGUAGAGGUGAAAUUCGUAGAUAUUCGGAGGAACACCAGUGGCGAAGGCGGCUCACUGGCUCGAUACUGACGCUGAGGUGCGAAAGCGUGGGGAGCAAACAGGAUUAGAUACCCGAGUAGUCCCAUGA